RNAcentral lists this ribosomal RNA (1674 nucleotides) under Xiphinema citricolum. Its description in RNAcentral is "SSU rRNA". It matches the Rfam family "Eukaryotic small subunit ribosomal RNA". Lineage: Eukaryota; Metazoa; Nematoda; Enoplea; Dorylaimida; Longidoridae. The record is from RNAcentral.
GUGAAGCCGCGAAUAGCUCAUUACAACAGCCACCGUUUACUAGAAAAUCAGUAUCCUACUCGGAUAACUGUGGCAAUUCUAGAGCUAAUACGUGCGAAAAAGCUCGUUUCGCAAGAUUCGAGCGCAUUUAUUAGAAUAAAAACCAAUCGGGCCCAUAAAGCCCGUAAUUUGGUGAAUCUGAAUAACUUUGCCGAUCGCACGGUCCUAGUACCGGCGACGUAUCUUUCAAGUGUCUGCCUUAUCAACUUUCGAUGGUAGGUUAUACGCCUACCAUGGUAGUAACGGGUAACGGAGAAUAAGGGUUCGACUCCGGAGAGGGAGCCUGAGAAACGGCUACCACAUCCAAGGAAGGCAGCAGGCGCGCAAAUUACCCACUUCCAGAACGGAGAGGUAGUGACGAAAAAUAACGAGACAGUCCUCUUCGAGGUCUGUCAUCGGAAUGGGUACAAUUUAAAUCCUUUAACGAGGAUCUAUUGGAGGGCAAGUCUGGUGCCAGCAGCCGCGGUAAUUCCAGCUCCAAUAGCGUAUAUUAAAGUUGUUGCGGUUAAAACGCUCGUAGUUGGAUCUGCGGCCUCGGAGAACGGUCCCCCGAAAGGGCGGUCACUGUUACUCCAAGCCUAAAUAUCUAGUCUACUCUACGGUGCUCUUAACCGAGUGCCUAGAGUGACUGGAACGUUUACUUUGAAAAAAUUAGAGUGCUUAAAGCAGGCGAAAUAGCCUGAAUAAGGUGCAUGGAAUAAUGGAAUAGGACCUCGGUUCUAUUUUGUUGGUUUUCGGAGCCCGAGGUAAUGAUUAAGAGGAACAGACGGGGGCAUUCGUAUUCCGGCGCUAGAGGUGAAAUUCUUGGACCGCCGGAAGACGGACGACUGCGAAAGCAUUUGCCAAGAAUGUUUUCAUUAAUCAAGAACGAAAGUUAGAGGUUCGAAGGCGAUCAGAUACCGCCCUAGUUCUAACCGUAAACGAUGACAACCAGCGAUUAGUCGGUGUUAAUAUACGACCCGACUAGCAGCUUCCGGGAAACCAAAGUUUUUCGUUUCCGGGGGAAGUAUGGUUGCAAAGCUGAAACUUAAAGGAAUUGACGGAAGGGCACCACCAGGAGUGGAGCCUGCGGCUUAAUUUGACUCAACACGGGAAAACUCACCCGGCCCGGACACCGUAAGGAUUGACAGACUGAGAGCUCUUUCUUAAUUCGGUGGGUGGUGGUGCAUGGCCGUUCUUAGUUGGUGGAGCGAUUUGUCUGGUUAAUUCCGAUAACGAACGAGACUCUGGCCUAUUAAAUAGUCGGUAUAUCCAGAAAAGUUUACCGUACUUCUUAGAGGGACAAACGGCGUCUAGCCGCGUGAAAUAGAGCAAUAACAGGUCUGUGAUGCCCUUAGAUGUCCGGGGCUGCACGCGCGCUACACUGAAAGAAUCAGUAUGCGCUUUAACCUAGUCCGGAAGGAUUGGGUAACCCGAGCAAAUUCUUUCGUGCUUGGGAUAGGGAAUUGCAAUUAUUUCCCUUAAACGAGGAAUUCCCAGUAAAUGCGGGUCAUAAGCUCGCGUUGAUUACGUCCCUGCCCUUUGUACACACCGCCCGUCGCUACUACCGAUUGGAUGACUUAGUGAGGUCUUAGGACCGACGUAAAGGAGCUUUCGCGAGUUCUUUUUCGUUGGAAAUUUGAUCGAACUACGUUA